Molecule: ribosomal RNA, 433 nt
Filed under: uncultured bacterium
Lineage: Bacteria
Description: partial 16S ribosomal RNA
Rfam family: Bacterial small subunit ribosomal RNA
Source: RNAcentral
AGCGAACGCUGGCGGCAUGCUUAACACAUGCAAGUCGCACGGGCAGCAAUGUCAGUGGCGGACGGGUGAGUAACGCGUAGGAACGUGUCCUGAGGUGGGGGACAACCCCGGGAAACUGGGGCUAAUACCGCAUAUGGGCUGAGGCCCAAAGCCGAGAGGCGCCUUUGGAGCGGCCUGCGUCCGAUUAGGUAGUUGGUGGGGUAAAGGCCUACCAAGCCUGCGAUCGGUAGCUGGUCUGAGAGGACGACCAGCCACACUAGGACUGAGACACGGCCCAGACUCCUACGGGAGGCAGCAGUGGGGAAUAUUGGACAAUGGGCGAAAGCCUGAUCCAGCAAUGCCGCGUGGGUGAAGAAGGUCUUCGGAUCGUAAAGCCCUUUCGACGGGGACGAUGAUGACGGUACCCGUAGAAGAAGCCCCGGCUAACUUCGUG